GGGAAUAUUGGACAAUGGGCGAAAGCCUGAUGCAGCAACGCCGCGUGCGGGAUGACGGCCUUCGGGUUGUAAACCGCUUUCAGCUCCGACGAAGCGCAAGUGACGGUAGGAGCAGAAGAAGGACCGGCCAACUACGUGCCAGCAGCCGCGGUGAUACGUAGGGUCCGAGCGUUGUCCGGAAUUAUUGGGCGUAAAGGGCUUGUAGGCGGUCCGUCGCGUCGGAAGUGAAAACUCAGGGCUUAACCCUGAGCCUGCUUCCGAUACGGGCAGACUAGAGGAAUGCAGGGGAGAAUGGAAUUCCUGGUGGAGCGGUGGAAUGCGCAGAUAUCAGGAGGAACACCAGUGGCGAAGGCGGUUCUCUGGGCAUUUCCUGACGCUGAGAAGCGAAAGCGUGGGGAGCAAACAGG
Molecule: ribosomal RNA, 407 nt
Filed under: uncultured bacterium
Lineage: Bacteria
Description: bacterial SSU rRNA
Rfam family: Bacterial small subunit ribosomal RNA
Source: RNAcentral